UGUAUCCGCUGUGGGUGGGACAGAAAGAUGCACUGUAAUCUGCAACCGAGCAAAGCUCUGUGCCGAGGCUCAUGUCGCACGCGGAACGGCUUGACCAGCCAGAGCCCGGGCAGGAGCCAAACCACCACCAGCAGCGGCCAGGACUAUUUGAAGAGAGAUGGUUUACGGCGCCUGUCGGUGAAAGCCUUGCGUGUGGUUAUUCCGCUUUUACUGUCACUGCAGCCAGCGCCUACGAGCCGCAUGCCGAGGCGCUCCCAAAGCCCGUCUCCGCUCUUGGCGGUUCGUGCUAGCGCAGCGAUGGCACCGCGCUGCGGGAAACAUGAAACUCCUCCGACGCGGCAGGGCGCCACGCGGGGCUGGAGCCGCCGGGUCCUGAUGCCAGACCGAAGUGUGUGCGUAUUCCCGGGUGCACGUGUUUCAAGGUCAAGGUUAUCGGGAAAUGUCCACAGUGGUGCUUCCCAUGGGAGCUGCAUCACACCUCUAUGCUGGAGGCUGAUCUAUGCCCAGACACUGGCCUGUAGCUCCGAAAGCCCGUGGGUGGCACGCCGGCGGCUCACCAGCCCGUGCACCCUGUCCUGUCCUGCCGGCGGUGGCCGGGCGAGGCCGGCGCUGGCAGAGCCGCGGCCCCCGGGGAGGACAUGGCAGAUAGAGCAGCCCUGGAGCUCUGCUGCCUCCCUGUUUGCCAGCUCUGCCAGCGUUUAUUCGCACACCCGUUGUGGCGAGAGGCUGCUCACGUGGCUUCACUUGCUUCCUGCCCUCAAAGAAUUUCAAUGUUUUGGUUUUUUAAAAAACACCACAAUUUGUUGAGUGGGAUUUUGUGUGUGUGUGUAUGUGGAUUUGUAUUUACAUGGGAAUAGCUAUUGAGUUAAGUGUGGUUUCGAACGUGUAGGAGCAGCCGGCUGUUCAUUGCUAUGUACAAGCUAGCAGCCAACACAGACAGCGCUGUAGUUGUCCAGCUGGUUUACGACCAGCGGACGAGGGCCGGUUGUGUCUGCCGCCCUUCCAUUGUGCCAGGAACGAGACGUGCUCAUUCUUUCCAUUAGCUGCAUCAUCAUUUAGUUUUACUAAAGCAAUAAAAACGUCCAAGGAGAAGGUUGUAAUAUCGCAGAAUGAGGGUGUGUGUAGUUCACUUCUACGUGUGUGAUUUACUUGUAUGUAACACGUACAAGAAAUUAAUCUCGAGUAGGGCUAAUCCAGCCCUCUGGCUGAACCUGGCUGGGAUUUCACCCAAGUCAGUUGUGUUCAUACGUAGUGGCUUGGCUUAGCGGGGUCUGGAACAAGGAACCGAGAACUUGCAGCAGCCCUUCUGCUUUCGCAGAUGUUUGGAGUCAGAGGAGUAUUUUCGUUCAUCUCCUGACCAGCGAGGAAA
This is a long non-coding RNA of Dromaius novaehollandiae (emu), 1369 nucleotides long. RefSeq lists it as uncharacterized. The record is from RefSeq and is a predicted model, not a curated record. Lineage: Eukaryota; Metazoa; Chordata; Aves; Casuariiformes; Dromaiidae. The transcript is spliced from 3 exons.